CUACACAUGACAGCGUAGCCUACACAGUACACAGCUCUCCUUGAACAUUACACACCACUCAAUUUCAAUUAUUUAACUUAAUCUAGAUCUUACUACUUAAUCUGGUUUAAAAUAAGUUCCUAAGUCUGUUUGAAAUUACGAAGUACCCUGAAGGACAUUAGAUUUGAGGAUGUACUAACUAAACCUAACCUAGACUUCUAGUUUUUAGUUAACUCAGUCAGACUGUCACUGUAACUUAAACUCAACUGACUGGUAACUAGACUCUAAAACAGUACACUACUUCACUACACAGUAACUAGUUUACUAACUAGAAGUAAACCUGAGUCAUAGACAUAAUCAUCAUGUCAAAGACAGCAUGGGCCACUCUUUCAGCAUCAGCAGCCUUCACGUGUGGAGUAAUUUAUUAUGUUCACAUAAGCCAAAAGAAUGAUCGAGAGCGAUUACGUGAGGGUGUUAUCAAUGAUUUAGCCAGGCAACAAAAGAAACUACAGAAUGUUCUUCAUCUGGAACAGCAGGGAGAUAUAACAAAACUUUUAAGACAGCAACAACAAUUACAAGAUGAAGAAGACAGAAAAACCCGGUUGAAUAGUGAGAGAUAGUGUAUGCAUAUAUAACUUAACAAAUUUAAAUAGGUCUAUUUCAAUUUUUCAAUGAAGUUUCUUCAGCCUAAAGUGUUUUAGCAUAUUUUUUUACUUGUAAUGUAAAUAUUGACCAUAUAAGACUAUUGUUAUUUUUUAUAACUUGUUUAUUGUUUAGCUUUAGCUGUUAUUGAACCCUAAACAACACACUUAAAGGAGAAGCGUUAUUUCAUGAUUUUGAAUUGAUAACUGUUAUCUGUGAUGCAAGUUAUGAUAAAAUACAUGUAACCAAGUAUGUAAAUAGUUAACAAUUUAAAUGCUGAUUAUUUAAACCUAGAAUUUCAUCAUAUUAUAAAACAUUACAACACUUCCUGCAAGAUUAUGUGGUCGAGUAGUUUUAUUUACAUAAAAGAAGGAUUAAAUGUUCAAAUUACAUCUGUGGUCUUGAAGUUCUGUCAGGAUUGAUGGGCACUUGAUAUUUACCACAGGUCCAAACUUGUACUUUUUAGCACUUCAUCAAAGAAUGCUGUUGAAAUCAUUGCACUGAUUCAGAAUGUGACAUUUGUAUAUUGUAUUCUGAUAUAAUGGUAUUAGAAUCAUAAUUUAAAUCUAUCUUCUGUGGUUUGUAUGGUGUACUUGUUGAUACUUCAUCCAUGUAAUGAAAAUAAAUCACAAAAUAAUCAAAAAGAAAUAUAAUAAAAUUUAAUGAAGUUAUGUAGUUUAAACUAAAAAAAAAUAAUUACAUUUAUAUUCAGCUUUGAUAACUUAUUGUUUAUUAAUUUUUAGAUAACAGAAAUUGAUGGGUAAUUCAAUAACUUCUUUAAUUUGUAAAACUAAAUUACACAUUAGAUUUAAAAAAUAAAUAAAUAAAGUGCUUAUAGCCUCCCCUUGAUUACUAGUAGUGAUAUUUUGUAAUCAUGGUAUAGCACAAUAUAUACUAAACAUUUUUACUAAUUAAGAAAAUACUGUAAAAUUGAGUACUUUAAUGCAAUAUUUUCUGCAAUAUAAAUUGA
Physella acuta is the source of this 1591-nucleotide long non-coding RNA. RefSeq lists it as uncharacterized. Lineage: Eukaryota; Metazoa; Mollusca; Gastropoda; Physidae. The record is from RefSeq and is a predicted model, not a curated record.